RNAcentral lists this ribosomal RNA (433 nucleotides) under uncultured bacterium. RNAcentral's name for it is "partial 16S ribosomal RNA". It matches the Rfam family "Bacterial small subunit ribosomal RNA", at positions 30 to 508 of the family's 1533-position model. The record is from RNAcentral.
AGCGAACGCUGGCGGCAGGCUUAACACAUGCAAGUCGAGCGGGCACUUCGGUGUCAGCGGCAGACGGGUGAGUAACACGUGGGAACGUACCCUUUGGUUCGGAAUAACGCUGGGAAACUAGCGCUAAUACCGGAUACGCCCUUUUGGGGAAAGGCUUGCUGCCGAAGGAUCGGCCCGCGUCUGAUUAGCUAGUUGGUGGGGUAAUGGCCUACCAAGGCGACGAUCAGUAGCUGGUCUGAGAGGAUGAUCAGCCACACUGGGACUGAGACACGGCCCAGCCCCUCCGGGGAGGAGGCAGGGGGGAAUAUUGAAAAAGGGGCGAAAGCUGGACCCCCCCUUGCGGGGUGGGGAUGGAGGCCCUUGGGUUUGAAAGCCUUUUUGGCCGGGGAGGUAAAGGAGGGUACGGAAAAAAUAACCCCCGGCUACCUUGGGC